This 652-nucleotide ribosomal RNA is filed under the name uncultured bacterium. RNAcentral describes it as "bacterial SSU rRNA". It matches the Rfam family "Bacterial small subunit ribosomal RNA", at positions 12 to 683 of the family's 1533-position model. The record is from RNAcentral.
UUUGAUCCUGGCUCAGAACGAACGCUGGCGGCAUGCCUAACACAUGCAAAGCGAACGAGACCUCCGGGUCUAGUGGCGCACGGGUGCGUAACGCGUGGGAAUCUGCCCUUUGCUUCGGAAAAUCACAGAGAAAUUUGGGCUAAUACCGGAUAAUGUCGAAAGACCAAAAUUUUAUCGGCAAAGGAUGAGCCCGCGUAGGAUUAGCUAGUUGGUGGGGUAAUGGCCUACCAAGGCGACGAUCCUUAGCUGGUCUGAGAGGAUGAUCAGCCACACUGGGACUGAGACACGGCCCAGACUCCUACGGGAGGCAGCAGUGGGCAAAUUUGGACAAUGAAUCGCAACCCUGAUCCAGCCAUGCCGCGUGCGGGAAGAAGGCCCUCGGGUUUUAACCGCUUUUAGCUGGGAAAGAAAAGGCCAUCGUUAAUAGCGGUGGUUCUUGACGGUACCGGCGGAAUAAGCACCGGCUAACUACGUGCCAGCAGCCGCGGUAAUACGUAGGGUGCGAGCGUUAAUCGGAAUUACUGGGCGUAAAGCGUGCGCAGGCGGUUCGUUUUGUUUGCGGUGAAAGCCGGGCUCAACCCCUGGGAAUGGCCGUGAAAACUGGCGAGCUGGAGUGUGGCAGAGGGCGGUUGGAAUUCCAGGUGUAGCAGUG